RNAcentral lists this ribosomal RNA (592 nucleotides) under uncultured bacterium. RNAcentral's name for it is "bacterial SSU rRNA". It matches the Rfam family "Bacterial small subunit ribosomal RNA", at positions 338 to 946 of the family's 1533-position model. The record is from RNAcentral.
CCUACGGGAGGCAGCAGUGGGGAAUAUUGGACAAUGGGCGAAAGCCUGAUCCAGCAAUGCCGCGUGAGUGAUGAAGGCCUUCGGGUCGUAAAGCUCUUUUACCAGGGAUGAUAAUGACAGUACCUGGAGAAUAAGCUCCGGCUAACUCCGUGCCAGCAGCCGCGGUAAUACGGAGGGAGCUAGCGUUGUUCGGAAUUACUGGGCGUAAAGAGUACGUAGGCGGUUAUUCAAGUCAGAGGUGAAAGCCCGGGGCUCAACCCCGGAACUGCCUUUGAAACUAGAUAACUAGAGUCUUGGAGAGGUUAGUGGAAUUCCGAGUGUAGAGGUGAAAUUCGUAGAUAUUCGGAAGAACACCAGUGGCGAAGGCGACUAACUGGACAAGUACUGACGCUGAGGUACGAAAGCGUGGGGGGCAAACAGGAUUAGAUACCCUGGUAGUCCACGCCGUAAACGAUGAUAACUAGUUGUUCGGUCACUUGGUGACUGAGUGACGCAGCUAACGCAUUAAGUUAUCCGCCUGGGGAGUACGGUCGCAAGAUUAAAACCUAANANAGUAUAGCGNGNGAGNGCGACGACGACGACGACGGAGGAG